CUAUUGGACUGAGUUUGGGUCUAAUAUUCAAACUCAAUCAAGAAACCAGAUUAGGUCGAGAUCACCCAUGAUCCGGUUCGACCUGAUCGAUUUAAAACUCUACUAAAUAUAAAACAAUGAAUUGAUGAGGCUAGCAUAAAAUAUAAGUUAACUAGUAGCAAUUCAUACACACACUCACAUAUAUAUACAUAUAUAUACACAUACAUACAUACAUACAUAUACAC
RNAcentral lists this long non-coding RNA (224 nucleotides) under Elaeis guineensis (African oil palm). RNAcentral describes it as "long non-coding RNA (EGUI_LNC021241)". The record is from RNAcentral. Lineage: Eukaryota; Viridiplantae; Streptophyta; Magnoliopsida; Arecales; Arecaceae.